CGGGGUGUAGCGCAGCCUGGUAGCGCGCCUGGUUUGGGACCAGGAGGUCCUAGGUUCGAAUCCUAGUACCCCGACCA
RNAcentral lists this transfer RNA (77 nucleotides) under Candidatus Pelagibacteraceae bacterium. Its description in RNAcentral is "tRNA-Pro". It matches the Rfam family "tRNA". Rfam says of the family: Transfer RNA (tRNA) molecules are approximately 80 nucleotides in length. Their secondary structure includes four short double-helical elements and three loops (D, anti-codon, and T loops). The record is from RNAcentral. Lineage: Bacteria; Pseudomonadati; Pseudomonadota; Alphaproteobacteria; Candidatus Pelagibacterales; Candidatus Pelagibacteraceae.